This 515-nucleotide ribosomal RNA is filed under the name Lasiodiplodia theobromae. Its description in RNAcentral is "eukaryotic LSU rRNA". The stretch from base 140 to 293 matches the Rfam family "5.8S ribosomal RNA". The record is from RNAcentral. Lineage: Eukaryota; Fungi; Ascomycota; Dothideomycetes; Botryosphaeriales; Botryosphaeriaceae.
GCUACGCACUUACGAGCUCGGCUCGACUCUCCCACCCUUUGUGAACGUACCUCUGUUGCUUUGGCGGCUCCGGCCGCCAAAGGACCUUCAAACUCCAGUCAGUAAACGCAGACGUCUGAUAAACAAGUUAAUAAACUAAAACUUUCAACAACGGAUCUCUUGGUUCUGGCAUCGAUGAAGAACGCAGCGAAAUGCGAUAAGUAAUGUGAAUUGCAGAAUUCAGUGAAUCAUCGAAUCUUUGAACGCACAUUGCGCCCCUUGGUAUUCCGGGGGGCAUGCCUGUUCGAGCGUCAUUACAACCCUCAAGCUCUGCUUGGAAUUGGGCACCGUCCUCACUGCGGACGCGCCUCAAAGACCUCGGCGGUGGCUGUUCAGCCCUCAAGCGUAGUAGAAUACACCUCGCUUUGGAGCGGUUGGCGUCGCCCGCCGGACGAACCUUCUGAACUUUUCUCAAGGUUGACCUCGGAUCAGGUAGGGAUACCCGCUGAACUUAAGCAUAUCAAAAGGCGGAGGAA